GACGAACGCUGGCGGCGUGCCUAAUACAUGCAAGUAGAACGCUGAAGGAGGAGCUUGCUUCUCCGGAUGAGUUGCGAACGGGUGAGUAACGCGUAGGUAACCUGCCUGGUAGCGGGGGAUAACUAUUGGAAACGAUAGCUAAUACCGCAUAAGAGUAGAUGUCGCAUGACAUUUGCUUAAAAGGUGCAACUGCACCACUACCAGAUGGACCUGCGUUGUAUUAGCUAGUUGGUGGGGUAACGGCUCACCAAGGCAACGAUACAUAGCCGACCUGAGAGGGUGAUCGGCCACACUGGGACUGAGACACGGCCCAGACUCCUACGGGAGGCAGCAGUAGGGAAUCUUCGGCAAUGGACGGAAGUCUGACCGAGCAACGCCGCGUGAGUGAAGAAGGUUUUCGGAUCGUAAAGCUCUGUUGUAAGAGAAGAACGAGUGUGAGAGUGGAAAGUUCACACUGUGACGGUAUCUUACCAGAAAGGGACGGCUAACUACGUG
This 495-nucleotide ribosomal RNA is filed under the name uncultured bacterium. RNAcentral's name for it is "partial 16S ribosomal RNA". It matches the Rfam family "Bacterial small subunit ribosomal RNA", at positions 28 to 507 of the family's 1533-position model. The record is from RNAcentral.